Molecule: long non-coding RNA, 540 nt
Organism: Hippocampus zosterae (dwarf seahorse)
Lineage: Eukaryota; Metazoa; Chordata; Actinopteri; Syngnathiformes; Syngnathidae
Exons: 2
Source: RefSeq, a predicted model, not a curated record
UUGAUGUCGCGGAGAAUAAGGUAUUAUUUAUUUAUUUAUUCAAAUCGCCUUCUGUCGCCGAGAGCCUCUCGGCGAGAGGCACUCGCCGAGUGCCUCUCAGAUUAUUGACAUGUGUUGUACCAUUCUAAUCCGAAUACAUUUCAAGGUAACUCUUGGUUACUUCUUAUUCACAUUUCAUUACAGGUGAAAUGUCGAAUUUGCCGGGUCGAAUUGUCAUACACCAACAGAAGCACCUCCACCAUGCUGAGGCAUUAUCGGGCCAAGCAUGAGAAUGAUGUUCGCGAUACACCCAGUAUUACGCCAGGUUCCAGGAAGCAGCUGUACUGGAAGGACCAACACACUUCUUUCCCAAACCUCUCCCACCUCGCAAAGGAGUUCCUUUGUACGCCAGCCUCAUCCGUCCCUUGUGAGCGUGUGUUCUCCACAGCAGGAGAAAUCGCUUGUAAAAGACUCAACAGGCUGAAGUUUAAAACAUUGGAGCAUCUUAUUUUUCUCAAUAAAAAUUUGUGAAAUAAAAGCCCACAAGCAUCCUCAUUCAAA